Long non-coding RNA from Myotis daubentonii (Daubenton's bat), 1546 nucleotides. RefSeq lists it as uncharacterized. Lineage: Eukaryota; Metazoa; Chordata; Mammalia; Chiroptera; Vespertilionidae. The record is from RefSeq and is a predicted model, not a curated record.
CGGCGGUUUCGUAAAGGACCCUUUCCAGAGGCGCAGAGUUAUUGCCUUGCUGGGCAGGGAGUGGCUGACUCGUCCAAAAAGGUGUCACUGGCUCCGAGGGCCACCAUUCUUUGCGACUCCUUGGCAUGAAAAAUGGUGAUACUGCAGCCCAGAGAAGUUAAGUAAUACCAGCUAACCUGGUCCCAGAUUGGGAUUUACAUUCUCCUGCCAACAUCGUGUAUGGAGUUAACCAAGCAGUAACCCAGAAAGAGACCGGGCUAGUGACCAGCAUGUGACAGGACUGGAACUGACCUCGCCCUGAACCUUGCAGUCAGAUCUGUGGCAUCCAAGUCUUGGGGGAAAAAAUCAGUUUCCUAUUUCAUCACAGAACUGUGACUUGAAUUUUGGACAGUGAAUCAUAUAAACUCAAUUAGAUAAACUGGCGGCUACAAUCCUUUAACUAAAGGAUUUUAAAGUCUGGGAACAUCAUACCAAGUCCAGUAUGGUCUGAGGGAUGGCACUUGUCUUCGUCAAGACCCCAAGUCUAUGACAUUGAAAGGUCAAGGAGGCACCCAGAACUAUUGCCUCCUCAAGAUAAGGGUCGGCACCCAGUGGGUGUGCUGUGAGCUUGAUGGAGGGUGGAGUCAAAACAGAACACAGAUUUAUUUCCUUAAGGAAAACAUGACUCUGUCAGGCAUCAGAAAAGACGGGACUGCUUCCAACACAUCCUGACGGUAGCCUCAGACUAUGUGCAACCCUGAGAAAUGCUUCUUGCUCUUCUACAAGUAGAGGAUCAUCUUGAACAAAAGGUCCCUCCCAAACAGACAUCCGUCGGCACAUGCUAAUUUCUUAGCCGAAAGAAGCGGGGCUAAGAAGUGGGGCUUACAUGUUUGGCUGGAAUUUAAAAGGAUUAAAUGGGGCAGAAUCUAGCAGCACAGCUCCGUGGGAUGGUUUUUAUUUUCUUAAAAACAAACCAUUAGAUCAGAAAGCUUCUCUCUUGGUUACACAUUCACACACACACAGACAGGCACACCCAACAUUCCUACCUUUACAGCACUAGCUCAUACCAUCUGUAAAGUACAAUGAGGAGAAUUAGGGCAAAUAUGGGGGGUAGGGUAGGAAUAGGGAGUUGAUGGAGAAGGUAGCUCUUUCUCUGUAGUUCCAAACACACAGGGGUUAGUAUCAUGUAUACAAUGUCUAAGUUCUCCAGGCUGCUUUCCCAUUAGGCUCUGGGUUACUCAAGAUCAAUGUUGGCACAGAGUUGGCCUCCGAAUGAGAUUAGGCUGGAAGAAAGAACAAAUGAAAUGCAGUGUCUUCUCAACAUCCCAUGAACAGGCUGAAAUCAGCAUGGAACAUCUUUCCCCUUCAGAUUGCCUUUGAUGUUCUGUUGCAACUGAACACAAAUAUGGGAAGAGAGGAGCUAGACAGAAGGUAUGAUGUGUUCUGGGCUUUUUAGAGCGUUGUCUCGAUGUCAACCAGGGGACAAGCCUAAGCAGGCUCAUGCCAUUAGUUAUCUUAAGCAGCUUUUGGGAGUGGGUAUGAGAAAAGAAAAAGAGAAAACAAAACA